RNAcentral lists this ribosomal RNA (521 nucleotides) under uncultured bacterium. RNAcentral's name for it is "bacterial SSU rRNA". It matches the Rfam family "Bacterial small subunit ribosomal RNA", at positions 30 to 526 of the family's 1533-position model. The record is from RNAcentral.
AUUGAACGCUGGCGGCAUGCCUAACACAUGCAAGUCGAACGGCAGCGGAUUAAACAAUCCUUUCGGGGUGCGUUUGAUGCCGGCGAGUGGCGAACGGGUGAGUAACGCGUAGGAAUUUGCCCUAAAGUGGAGGACAACUCGGGGAAACUCGAGCUAAUACUGCAUAAACUCUACGGAGUAAAGCUGGGGAUCUUCGGACCUGGCGCUUUAGGAUAAGCCUGCGUUGGAUUAGCUUGUUGGUGGGGUAACGGCCUACCAAAGCAACGAUCCAUAGCUGGUUUGAGAGAAUGAUCAGCCACACUGGGACUGAGACACGGCCCAGACUCCUACGGGAGGCAGCAGUGGGGAAUAUUGGACAAUGGGGGCAACCCUGAUCCAGCAAUGCCGCGUGUGUGAAGAAGGCCCGAGGGUUGUAAAGCACUUUCAGUUGCGAAGAACGGUUUGCGGUUAAUACCCGUAAACUUUGACGUUACCAACAGAAGAAGCACCGGCUAACUCCGUGCCAGCCGCCGCAGUAAAAC